This 402-nucleotide ribosomal RNA is filed under the name uncultured bacterium. Its description in RNAcentral is "bacterial SSU rRNA". It matches the Rfam family "Bacterial small subunit ribosomal RNA", at positions 355 to 774 of the family's 1533-position model. The record is from RNAcentral.
UCGGGAAUUUUGGGCAAUGGGCGAAAGCCUGACCCAGCAACGCCGCGUGAGGGAUGAAGUAUUUCGGUAUGUAAACCUCGAAAGAAUGGGAAGAAUAAAUGACGGUACCAUUUAUAAGCUCCGGCUAACUACGUGCCAGCAGCCGCGGUAAUACGUAGGGAGCAAGCGUUGUUCGGAUUUACUGGGCGUAAAGGGCGCGUAGGCGGCGCGGUAAGUCACUUGUGAAAUCUCUGAGCUUAACUCCGAACGGCCAAGUGAUACUGCUGUGCUAGAGGGCGGAAGAGGCAACCGGAAUUCUUGGUGUAGCGGUGAAAUGCGUAGAUAUCAAGAGGAACACCUGAGGCGAAGGCGGGUUGCUGGGCCGACACUGGCGCUGAUGCGCGAAAGCCAGGGGAGCAAACG